Molecule: ribosomal RNA, 252 nt
Filed under: uncultured Bacteroidales bacterium
Lineage: Bacteria; Pseudomonadati; Bacteroidota; Bacteroidia; Bacteroidales
Description: partial 16S ribosomal RNA
Rfam family: Bacterial small subunit ribosomal RNA
Source: RNAcentral
UACGGAGGAUGCGAGCGUUAUCCGGAUUUAUUGGGUUUAAAGGGUGCGUAGGCGGCGAGUUAAGUCAGCGGUAAAAGCCCGGGGCUCAACCCCGGCCCGCCGUUGAAACUGACGGUCUUGAGUGGGCGAGAAGUAUGCGGAAUGCGUGGUGUAGCGGUGAAAUGCAUAGAUAUCACGAAGAACUCCGAUUGCGAAGGCAGCUCACUGGACUGCAACUGACACUGAGGCUCGAAAGUGUGGGUAUCAAACAGG